Molecule: ribosomal RNA, 509 nt
Filed under: uncultured bacterium
Lineage: Bacteria
Description: bacterial SSU rRNA
Rfam family: Bacterial small subunit ribosomal RNA
Source: RNAcentral
CUAGACGAGUUUGAUCCUGGCUCAGAUUGAACGCUGGCGGCAUGCUUUACACAUGCAAGUCGAACGGUAACGGGGACUUCGGUCUGCCGACGAGUGGCGAACGGGUGAGUAAUAUAUCGGAACGUGCCCAGUAAUGGGGGAUAGCUCGGCGAAAGCCGGAUUAAUACCGCAUACGCCCUGAGGGGGAAAGUGGGGGAUCUUCGGACCUCACGUUAUUGGAGCGGCCGAUAUCAGAUUAGCUAGUUGGUGGGGUAAAGGCCUACCAAGGCGACGAUCUGUAGCUGGUCUGAGAGGAUGAUCAGCCACACUGGGACUGAGACACGGCCCAGACUCCUACGGGAGGCAGCAGUGGGGAAUUUUGGACAAUGGGCGAAAGCCUGAUCCAGCCAUGCCGCGUGAGUGAAGAAGGCCUUCGGGUUGUAAAGUUCUUUCAGGUGGAAAGAAAGCGGAUGGGUUAAUACCCUGUCCGGAUGACGGUACCACCAGAAGAAGCACCGGCUAACUACGUG